GACGAACGCUGGCGGCGUGCCUAAUACAUGCAAGUCGAACGAGAGCGACCGGUGCUUGCACUGGCCAAUCUAGUGGCGAACGGGUGAGUAACACGUGGGUAACCUGCCCAUCAGAGGGGGAUAACAUCCGGAAACGGAUGCUAAAACCGCAUAGGUCUUCGAACCGCAUGGUUUGAAGAGGAAAAGAGGCGCAAGCUUCUGCUGAUGGAUGGACCCGCGGUGCAUUAGCUAGUUGGUGAGGUAACGGCUCACCAAGGCCGUGAUGCAUAGCCGACCUGAGAGGGUGAUCGGCCACAUUGAGACUGAGACACGGCCCAAACUCCUACGGGAGGCAGCAGUAGGGAAUCUUCCGCAAUGGGCGCAAGUCUGACGGAGCAACGCCGCGUGAGUGAAGAAGGUUUUCGGAUCGUAAAACUCUGUUGUUAGAGAAGAACAAGUGCUAGAGUAACUGUUAGCGCCUUGACGGUAUCUAACCAGAAAGCCACGGCUAACUACGUG
RNAcentral lists this ribosomal RNA (498 nucleotides) under uncultured bacterium. Its description in RNAcentral is "partial 16S ribosomal RNA". It matches the Rfam family "Bacterial small subunit ribosomal RNA", at positions 28 to 507 of the family's 1533-position model. The record is from RNAcentral.